This 431-nucleotide ribosomal RNA is filed under the name uncultured bacterium. RNAcentral describes it as "partial 16S ribosomal RNA". It matches the Rfam family "Bacterial small subunit ribosomal RNA", at positions 29 to 507 of the family's 1533-position model. The record is from RNAcentral.
AACGAACGCUGGCGGCAGGCUUAACACAUGCAAGUCGAACGCCCCGCAAGGGGAGUGGCAGACGGGUGAGUAACGCGUGGGAACAUACCCUUUUCUACGGAAUAGCUCUGGGAAACUGGAAUUAAUACCGUAUACGCCCUACGGGGGAAAGAUUUAUCGGGGAAGGAUUGGCCCGCGUUGGAUUAGCUAGUUGGUGGGGUAAAGGCCUACCAAGGCGACGAUCCAUAGCUGGUCUGAGAGGAUGAUCAGCCACAUUGGGACUGAGACACGGCCCAAACUCCUACGGGAGGCAGCAGUGGGGACUAUUGGACAAUGGGCGCAAGCCUGAUCCAGCCAUGCCGCGUGAGUGAUGAAGGCCUUAGGGUUGUAAAGCUCUUUCACCGAUGAAGAUAAUGACGGUAGUCGGAGAAGAAGCCCCGGCUAACUUCGUG